CUGUAUGAAUGGCAUAACGAGGGUUUAACUGUCUCCCUCCCCCAGUCAAUGAAAUUGAUCUGCCCGUGCAGAAGCGGACAUAAACACAUAAGACGAGAAGACCCUAUGGAGCUUUAGACAAAAGAUCAAACAUGUAAAGAAACCAAACCAACCAAAAGGAACACAAAGGCCACAAAACCCAACGUAAAAUGAUCAAAAUGUCUUCGGUUGGGGCGACCAUGGGGGAAAGAAAAGCCCCCACGAGGAACUAAGGGCAAUCCAUUAAGCCAAGAGAUACACCUCUAAGCAACAGAAAAUCUGACCAAAAAUGACCCAGGACACUAAUCCUGAUCAACGAACCAAGUUACCCUAGGGAUAACAGCGCAAUCCUUUCCCAGAGUCCAUAUCGACGAAAGGGUUUACGACCUCGAUGUUGGAUCAGGACAUCCUAAUGGUGCAGCCGCUAUUAAGGGUUCGUUUGUUCAACGAUUAACAGUCCUACGUGAUCUAG
Molecule: ribosomal RNA, 490 nt
Filed under: Anguilla marmorata (giant mottled eel)
Lineage: Eukaryota; Metazoa; Chordata; Actinopteri; Anguilliformes; Anguillidae
Description: partial 16S ribosomal RNA
Rfam family: Bacterial large subunit ribosomal RNA
Source: RNAcentral